AAAUGAGUAAAUUAUGCCAGAAGAUAUGUUUGUUGUCACUGUAAUUCCUCUAUAAUGUAGUCUAUGUAGGCUUCUUCCAUUCUUCAUCCAAAGACAAACUUCAUGGAGAUCCCCUUCUUUCCAGCUUAUGUUGACUGUCAACCCCCCACGCGCCCUUAAUCCUUUUACAGAUCCAUUCAUCCAUUUAUCUCGGGGUAGUGCAGGAAGCAGGUGCAAAUCAUUCAAGGUACUCUGGAUGAGCAUUUCUACAACUGCUGCUGUAAAACCAAAGUUGGCAUCAAUCUGAAACGGAGGAUGCGCUGCAAACAAGUUGCUGUAUAGUCCACCUUCAAAAGCUAUCUCAAGGUCUGGGUCCACCAGCUUAAUCAAAUGCUUAACCAUCCUGUAUGCAUGCUCACUGUUGUGUAG
This 408-nucleotide unclassified non-coding RNA is filed under the name Hevea brasiliensis (rubber tree). Lineage: Eukaryota; Viridiplantae; Streptophyta; Magnoliopsida; Malpighiales; Euphorbiaceae. The record is from RNAcentral.